UUAGACCUGGGUACACACGUGCUACAAUUGACAGAACAAAGGGCUGCAAGACCGCAAGGUUUAGCCAAUCCCAUAAAUCUGUUUUCAGUUCGGAUCGCAGUCUGCAACUCGACUGCGUGAAGCUGGAAUCGCUAGUAAUCGCGGAUCAGCAUGCCGCGGUGAAUACGUUCCCGGGCCUUGUACACACCGCCCGUCACACCACGAGAGUUUGCAACACCCGAAGUCGGUGAGGUAACCUUUAUGGAGCCAGCCGCCGAAGGUGGGGCAGAUGAUUUGGGGGG
Molecule: ribosomal RNA, 281 nt
Filed under: Bacillus safensis
Lineage: Bacteria; Bacillati; Bacillota; Bacilli; Caryophanales; Bacillaceae
Description: partial 16S ribosomal RNA
Rfam family: Bacterial small subunit ribosomal RNA
Source: RNAcentral